AGAGUUUGAUCCUGGCUCAGAGCGAACGUUAGCGGCAGGCCUAACACAUGCAAGUCGAGCGAGAAAGGGGCUUCGGCCCUGAGUAAAGCGGCGGACGGGUGCGUAACACGUGGAUAAUCUGCCCUUCGGCGGGGGAUAACAGUCCGAAAGGAUUGCUAAUACCGCAUACGUCAGGGAGGACUCCGGUUCUCCCUGGGAAAGAGGGCGCCCGCAAGGGGCUCUCACCGGAGGAUGAGUCCGCGGCCCAUCAGCUAGUUGGCGGGGUAAUGGCCCACCAAGGCUUAGACGGGUAGCUGGUCUGAGAGGAUGAUCAGCCACACUGGGACUGAGACACGGCCCAGACUCCUACGGGAGGCAGCAGUGGGGAAUAUUGGGCAAUGGGCGCAAGCCUGACCCAGCCAUGCCGCGUGAGUGAUGAAGGCCUUCGGGUCGUAAA
This 436-nucleotide ribosomal RNA is filed under the name uncultured bacterium. RNAcentral's name for it is "bacterial SSU rRNA". It matches the Rfam family "Bacterial small subunit ribosomal RNA", at positions 8 to 429 of the family's 1533-position model. The record is from RNAcentral.